Long non-coding RNA from Corvus hawaiiensis (hawaiian crow), 1790 nucleotides. RefSeq lists it as uncharacterized. The record is from RefSeq and is a predicted model, not a curated record. Lineage: Eukaryota; Metazoa; Chordata; Aves; Passeriformes; Corvidae. The transcript has 3 exons.
CUAUGGCAUCUGCUAUUCCAUGUGUUUUAUGUCAUUGACAAAUGGUGAAGAUUCUGUGUGCUAGUCUGAAUAGAAGCUCUUCAAAGGAAUAACCUGUCACAAGCUAGUCACUGGUGUUGACAAUACUAUUAUUAUCUAGAGACAAUGUGAGAUGAGUACAAUGGAAACUUCCUAGAGUGGAGAAAAUACGAGUGAAUUUUUUCAUCUACAAAUGUAAUGCAUGCUGCCCUGAGGUGGUAAGGACUGGAUAAACUGGUAAAUAUAACCAGGGGACAUAUGUGAGCAUUUCAACACCAGUAAGUUGGAUGGAUUUUCCUUUUCUUUUCUUGCUUUUCUUUUUCUUUUCCAGUGUUGAUGUAACAUAUAUAUAUUCACUAAAGAAAGCUAGGUUAGUUCUUCAGAAAGAAAAUGGUGUGGCAAAAGAAAGUCCUUCAAAGUCCUCAGGCUAAUCUUCUGUUUUGUGCUUUAAUGGAGGAUAUAAAGGAACAUGAACAAACACUAAGAGAAGAAUCACUUGGUUUUGUCCCUGAUGCCUUCAGUUUACUUAGCCUUUGGGAGACUGAUGCACAUCUCCUCAAAACUGGAGCACAAGUUUUGCUGACACGGGCCUGUCUGUGGGUGACCCUUCAUGGUCAACACUCUGGCAUCUUCCACUGCUGCUGCAGCCUGUGCAGCCAGGUGUUAGAGAAAGACCAUCAGGGAAGGACAUGACAAGUGGAAAACAGGGGAAGCAAUGAAAAAAACCCAGAGGAGAGUAAGUCUUGGUUCCUUACCAGGAAGUGAGCAGAGGAGUGAAGUAUAUCACCAAGUCUUUAAUACAACUCUUAGCAGGAGUGUAAUUGCUACUGUGAUAGUUUCAGGUUUUCACAUAUAUCUUGGUCCUUUCACACACUUUUGGAUAAUAAUGUUUUGCAAAGGCAUUAGAACUCUGGUUAAAAGGAUGCAUUUUCUGUCCUCAAUUUCAUUCCUUUCCCUCUGCCCCCUUUUGAAAUUACUAGACAGUGUGGUCAAAAACUCUGGUAUAUUUUAGAAAAUGAUGCACUAGCCAGAAAGCUCUCACAAACAAGUCACGAAUACCUGUCACCAGAAAAAAAAAGUAUAUAGCGUGUUGUGAUCAGAUGUAAUUUUUCUAUUGUUUAUCUGCAAUUUUUGUAAGAUUUCUACAAAAAUGAAAACUUAUGUAACAGUCUGGAUGGUAUGCAGAAAAAAUAGAUAUGUAAUUCUUAACUUCAGUUCAAGCAACUCCAUUUUUUUUACAGGAACAUCAGGUUCUAGUGGAAAAAUACAGGAAAGAUCUGUAUUAAGAAAUAAUUCAACAAGAAAAAUCUGAAUAAUGAAAGCAUUUGGGAAAAUCUGUGUGUGAAGACUGCACCUUCUGCAUAUCUGGGUACCGUUCUGAAUCCCACAGAUGUUUAAAAGGGAUUUAUAUACCUUGCAGCUCAGGACAGUCAGUUCUGAGUGAUCAGGAAAGCAGAACUGUCUGCAUAUCUGUGCCAAACCAAGCAGGGAGCUCCAACUGAACUCAAGGCAGGUUUUUGGUUGAUCCAGUGUCCUGGGGUGACGUUAUGAAGCCGCUUUAUUCCUUAACCGGCCGCUCAAGGCCCAAGGACGCUGUGCCUUUAAGAUGGACCCGGGGGCGGAGCCACGGGCCCGAGGGGGCGGAGCCACGGGCCCGAGGGGGCGGAGCCACGGCUCAGCCCAAGGGGCUCGGGAGGGCUCGGGAGGGAACGUGCCGGGAGUGCUGUGCUGCUUUCCUGGGAUUCCUCUGUGUUCCAGCUAGCUAGGAAAAG